UGUUGUAUAGCUCAGUGAUAGAGCGCGUGCUUAGCAUGCACAAGGUCCUGGGUUCAAUUCCCAGUACCUCCA
This 72-nucleotide transfer RNA is filed under the name Camelus bactrianus (Bactrian camel). It matches the Rfam family "tRNA". Rfam says of the family: Transfer RNA (tRNA) molecules are approximately 80 nucleotides in length. Their secondary structure includes four short double-helical elements and three loops (D, anti-codon, and T loops). The record is from Rfam by way of RNAcentral. RNAcentral also lists the same sequence under 2 other names. Lineage: Eukaryota; Metazoa; Chordata; Mammalia; Artiodactyla; Camelidae.